Molecule: non-coding RNA, 131 nt
Organism: Triticum aestivum (bread wheat)
Lineage: Eukaryota; Viridiplantae; Streptophyta; Magnoliopsida; Poales; Poaceae
Source: Rfam
CAAGUAUCUCCGUCCGAAAAUACUUGUCAUCAAAAUGAAUAAAAAGAAUGUAUCUAGAACUAAAAUACGUCUAGAUACAUCUCCUUUUAUCCAUUUUGAUGACAAGUAUUUCCGGACAGAGGGAGUACAUA